GAUUUCUGCCUUGGUGCGCGCUGUCCGUUGCGGUUACGUGACGUGUGCAGUAGCGCGCCUGUCAUACUUCUGGAUUUUGAUGUUGCCCUUCACUGGGUGAUGUCGCUAUCUAGAUCUUUUACUUUGAAAAAAUUAGAGUGUUUCAAGCAGGCUUUAUGCUAUGAAUACAUUAGCAUGGAAUAAUAAUUUAGGACUUCGGUUCUAUUUUGUUGGUUUCUAGGACUGAAGUAAUGAUUGAUAGGGAUAGUUGGGGGUGCUAGUAUUCAGCGGCCAGAGGUGAAAUUCUCGGAUUCGCUGAAGACUAACUUAUGCGAAAGCAUU
RNAcentral lists this ribosomal RNA (321 nucleotides) under uncultured Eocercomonas. Its description in RNAcentral is "SSU rRNA". The stretch from base 103 to 321 matches the Rfam family "Eukaryotic small subunit ribosomal RNA", at positions 736 to 955 of the family's 1831-position model. Lineage: Eukaryota; Cercozoa; Cercomonadida; Cercomonadidae. The record is from RNAcentral.